Molecule: RNA transcript, 1750 nt
Organism: Scatophagus argus
Lineage: Eukaryota; Metazoa; Chordata; Actinopteri; Scatophagidae
Exons: 8
Source: RefSeq, a predicted model, not a curated record
CACUAUAGUUACACCCGCCAGCUCGCUGCUGCAAAUGAGAAUGCCAUAAACGACCGUUAUAUUGGAGCGACUCAGACAACUUGGAUUUGACGGAUUGAUGUGUUUCAUUGCAGGUAAAUGAAAGCGCUGAAUCCAGUGCUCAUUUUUUGUAGUUCAUGUCGCACACCCUUUCAGUGUUAUCGACGUUUCAAUUUACUUUCAGUGUUUAUUGUGUAUUUUGCAGCCAAAGGGAGACAUCGAGGUGAGCUAGUGGAGCUAACUUUAGCGGAGCUAACUAGCCAGCUAAGUCAGCAUGGAAGAAUUGGAUGAUGUCGCAGUGUCGAUUUUAAGGGCUGCAAACAUCACAGAGACAAUCAUGGGCACCCUGUCUCGUGAAGACUUGCGGGAUCUUUUCCCAGGCCCAGAGAACUUUUUACGCAGAAAAGCGGUCUGGCGUGUCUGUCAUGGUGCGUCGGAGGAGGAGUCUGGCCAAGAACACUCACAAUUAUCGGGCAGUUCCUCCUUUAAUGCGUCACCCAUGCGACAGACUUCCACUCCAGUGAACGCAAGUCCUGCAAGGUACACAACCCCUGAAAAGGUUGUGAAGUUAUCCUUUCCAGAAUAUGUAUUGCACACCGACACAGAACUUGAGCAAGUCCGACAACAAUACUUUGAGCUGUCGAAGAAAGGCGAACAGCGCAACUGCCAGAUGUCUAAGGAGCUCAGAUGUCGCCUCAUUCAAAAUACCAUGACCAGUAUGAUUGCAAUCCUGAGAGCAAAGGGGGAUGGAGAAUCGCACAGAUACCCAUCAAAGCCAGAAAUUACAGCUAUGGCAAAGAGAAUAGUACUGUACUACCCCAUGCUGCAGGACCAAGGCCUCCAUACAUGGGUCACUGUGUAUGCACAGCUAUACAAAAGAUUGCAAAAUGUGAGAUCUCCCCAAAAAAGAACUCCAGAUGGGAGACAUUCAAAGAGCUCUACGAAGAGGCGCUGUCUUGAGCAGCCAACAGACACAGAUGAAAUCGAUUUAAGUGACUCAACAAUCAUUCUAGAUCGAUCCACAGAAGGAAGUGUCAGCCCAGGCUCAGACAGUAAAGAAAGUGAGUUAGAAGGACAAAUAAGAUCCCAGAGCCUACCUAAAGAAGCACCCUCUGCCCUGUCUAGUCUUGAUGCUAACAUGUCUGCAGAUGUUGACAGUCCAGACACCUACAGUCCAGCAACCAUGGCAAAGCACUACGAGACACUACAAACUUUGUAUUAAAGAAAAAAUCCAAACCACCAGGAUGUCUCUCAUCUCUUGGAUUUAGAAUUUGUGGCCAGAAGAGCAUUCAUUGAUUCAAAUACCAUUCGCGAGGAGGACAGACACAAGAAGGUUCUUGAAGCAUAUCCUUGUUUCAAGGAUGUUGGACAUGCGAUGGAGGAACUUCAACGCAUUUUGGAUAAGGACAAUACCAACUUCAUCGAUGAACUGAAGGAAAGAUGGCAAGACUUCUGCCAGAAGGUGCAGUUUUUUGGUCUUUGGAAGAAGGUGCUGAAACCCCCAAUAGGAAUGGACAAAGGUAGGGAAUGCUGUUUUGGUAUUAUUAGUGAUUAGGGGGGACUUCAGGCAUGUUAAUUGUCAAGUACAUGAGCUAGUGUUUUGUCAUUCUUCUUUUUCAUCUAUGAUGGCUAUCCCAUAUUUGAUGAAUCUUUGUUUUUUUUAAGCAUUGUGUCUGUUGUAUACAUUUUGAUCAGAUUUAACCUUGUGCACUCUGUCCAAGGGUUUAACCUC